UACGUAGGGGGCAAGCGUUGUCCGGAUUUAUUGGGCGUAAAGCGCUCGCAGGUGGUUCGUUGCGUCGUGCGUGAAAGACCCCGGCUCAACUGGGGAGGGUCGUGCGAUACGGGCGAACUGGAGGCCAGUAGGGGGAUGCGGAAUUCCGGGUGUAGUGGUGGAAUGCGUAGAGAUCCGGAGGAACACCAGCGGCGAAGGCGGCAUCCUGGACUGGUCCUGACACUCAUGAGCGAAAGCGUGGGGAGCGAGUCCGG
Molecule: ribosomal RNA, 254 nt
Filed under: uncultured bacterium
Lineage: Bacteria
Description: partial 16S ribosomal RNA
Rfam family: Bacterial small subunit ribosomal RNA
Source: RNAcentral